GGGGAAUAUUGCGCAAUGGGGGAAACCAUGACGCAGCAAUACCGCGUGAGUGAAGAAGGUUUUCGGAUCGUAAAGCUCUGUUAUUGGGGAAGAAAAAAAGACGGUACCCAAGAAGAAAGUCCCGGCUAACUACGUGCCAGCAGCCGCGGUAAUACGUAGGGGACAAGCGUUGUCCGGAUUUACUGGGCGUAAAGGGCACGCAGGCGGUUUUUUAAGUCAGAUGUGAAAGGUACCGGCUCAACCGGUGACAUGCAUUUGAAACUGAAAGACUUGAGUAUUGGAGAGGCAAGUGGAAUUCCUAGUGUAGCGGUGAAAUGCGUAGAUAUCAAGAGGAACACCGGUGGCGAAGGCGGCUUCCUGGACAAGUCCUGACUCUGAAACACGAAAGCCAGGGGAGCGAAUG
RNAcentral lists this ribosomal RNA (403 nucleotides) under uncultured Acetobacterium sp. RNAcentral describes it as "bacterial SSU rRNA". It matches the Rfam family "Bacterial small subunit ribosomal RNA", at positions 356 to 774 of the family's 1533-position model. The record is from RNAcentral. Lineage: Bacteria; Bacillati; Bacillota; Clostridia; Eubacteriales; Eubacteriaceae.